CGCCACAUCAUUGGAAACCACUUCCAGGAUUGUGAAAUCUGCACAUGAAAAACGAGUUCCACUGGCAGACAACACAGUCAAGCCGUCCGGGCUGGGCGCACACGUUCGCCCUGUCGCUUGCUGGAGUGGGGCCACCACCGCAGGCCGCGGCCUUCCUCUUGAUUUCUUUGUCCUGCCGUCUCAGGGCAGGUCACCCAGGGGAGGAAGCUGCACCCUAGUCAGCCGCAGCAGCUGGCCCCAGCGCCCCUGGGGGCCCGGCCGCCUCGGAGGCCUCGACGGCUGCCCGGAGCCAGCAUGCGCCCCACCACGGGCGCCCCCUGGACACGGCCAGGGCAGGAGCUCCAGCGACUCCGGAGAGACCCAUUCAGACACCAGCUGACCAGAUAAGCGCCUCAGGGGGUCAGCUGUGCUGCGCCCUGCAAACAAGCCAGCUGAGUGGCUGCUGAAAAACAGCAUGUCACCAGGAGCCUUCCUCUCCCACUGUCAAAUUUUAUUCUGCCUUAACCACGUGUCUGAGGCACCUGGAUAAUACCCUGAGCCACACAAAACCUGUUAGUUCCAGAGCUCUCUCCGGAACCAGAGGAAAGAAGACCCAAACUGCUUCUGGAAGCCUGGUGAUCGGCCUGUGAACCACAGAGGCUCACACUCUGACGAGGAGAACUCCCUUCAGCCGCUGCAGUGACCUCAACAGUGAGGACGCUCUCGGAGUCCAAGGCCGCUUUCCCGUGUUCCUCCCUCCGGCUCCUCCGGCCCUAACGGCCCCCACACCCACAGUAGCAUUCUAGCUCAUAAAGCUUCCAUAAGGUCUUCCUUCGGCCAGGAAGUUGGGGACCAUUUUCUAAGGAUAUUCUUAGACCCCUGAUAAUCUGAAUUUAGGACAUGACCCCAAGACGUUCCCAUCAGUAGGGACUGUGAAUAGUGUAGGGACUCUCAGAGCUAGAAGAUAACACAUCGCGCACUAAAAGAUGUUAUAAACUCUUCCAGGGGCGCUUUCCAAACUACAGAGGACUUCCGCGUGCAGAGGGGGAUGUCCGCUCUACCGAGGACGGCCCCCAAGACUCAGAUUUGGAUGUGCCUCUGGGGUGGCACCACCUGCUUUCCUUGAGAAUCACUUCCCUGGUGAAGCCUAGAAGUUCAGUGGCGUGUGCUGAGGUGGAAUGACAGGUUCAGAACCCCUCUACUAGAAGAUCACUAGCCACACUACAAAGCUAGAUAACGAAAAUAAGUUAGUAAUAUCUCUCCAUUUAUCACGCCACCCACGCUAACCAAAAUACUUUGAUUAAAGAUAAUCUAGAUAUUAAGUUAAAACCACCCAAAAAAAAACCCAUAAUCAAUAAUGAUGUUCUGAUAUGACGAAAAUGCCCUGUUUCAAUCCUUAAAUAUAGGGGAAAUUAGCUCGUAUUCAUGGAGCCUAGAAACUUAACAUGAAUUUGUAUGAUGAAUAAAAAGACCAUUUUGCUAGACUCCA
RNAcentral lists this long non-coding RNA (1468 nucleotides) under Equus asinus (donkey). RNAcentral describes it as "lncRNA (ENSEASG00005032010.1)". Lineage: Eukaryota; Metazoa; Chordata; Mammalia; Perissodactyla; Equidae. The record is from RNAcentral.